This is a long non-coding RNA of Ictalurus punctatus (channel catfish), 682 nucleotides long. The record is from Ensembl. NCBI's taxonomy places the organism in Eukaryota, Metazoa, Chordata, Actinopteri, Siluriformes, Ictaluridae.
GGGGAAUAACUUUUCCACGAUAUUCUCAUUUUUUGAGAUGCACCUCUACCUAAGGGUGUGCAAACUUUUGCACGCAACACUAUCAAAUCGCAUACAGUAUAAUCAUGAAAACUGGCAAGAGGUACACUAGCCUAACUUUGAUCAUUUCAGUGUGUGUGUGUGUGUAGUUUUUAAGAUAUCUACUAAGUAUGCUGUGUCCUGCCUCUAUAAUGUCAUGUAGCCUUGUCCAGUGUGGCUGCGCUCGAUUUGCGCAGAUUAAACACUCUCAUUAGGUCAAUGAAGCACCAGGAGGGUCGCGUGAGGGGCGGGACCGCGAGCCAAAAAAACGGAAAGUCACGGCUAGUGCAGACUUCCUUUCUCCAAGGUGUCACAUCCAGGCAAAAAAAAAAGAGAGAGAGAGAGAGGAAAAAGUCGACAAAAACAAGGUUUCUCUCCAGAACCAUUUUGAAUGCUCUGGGAAAAAACCCCGAGGCGCGUGCAAAAAGUUCAAGCAGGCCUUUUCUUUCAAACACUCCAUGAAAAGUGGGCUCCGGUGUUGUUUACAUGAUUUUUAAAGGAUAAAAUACUCCUACACGGAUAAGGUGGAUACAAUGGCUGACCAGGAAAUAUCUAUGGAUGACAGUAUAACAGAAUGCCGGAUCGCAUUGUGGCAAACCUGCACCAAAGGCAACACACGGUCCGG